RNAcentral lists this unclassified non-coding RNA (2183 nucleotides) under Camponotus floridanus (Florida carpenter ant). RNAcentral's name for it is "alpha-tocopherol transfer protein-like, transcript variant X3". The record is from RNAcentral. Lineage: Eukaryota; Metazoa; Arthropoda; Insecta; Hymenoptera; Formicidae.
CAAUUCUACUUUUUUCAGCUUCAAUGAUAGAAUUUACAAACAGAUUUUUGGAACACCGAUGGGCUCACCUCUCUCUCCCAUUUGUGCGGAUCUCGUUCUCCAAGAGCUGGAAGAAAAGGCUAUUUCACAACUUCCUUUUCACCUUCCUUUUUACUUCAGAUAUGUGGAUGAUAUUGCCUUGGUUGCUCCUGCUUGUUUUUUGAAUCUCAUAAAGUCUGUUUUUAAUUCUUUUCAUGAUAGGUUGAAAUUCACCAUGGAGAUUGCAAAUGAUAAUCGUCUCAAUUUUCUAGACGUGACGAUCAUUAUUAAUAACAAUCAUAUUGAGUUCGACUGGUAUAUGAAGCCCACCUUUUCUGGUAGGUUUCUCAAUUUCUUUUCUCAACAUCCGUUGGCGCAUAAAAAGGGGGUAAUUAUUGGACUCACUGAUAAAAUUUUUAAACUGUCACAUCCCAGAUAUCAUGAGAAGAAUUUUAACAUCAUCUCUGAGAUCCUUUCCAAUAAUGGUUAUCUGGGGAAAUUUAUUUUUAAUACCAUAACAUGUAGAAUCAAGUUUCUGAUUCAUAAUCACUAUGCUCCUCAUGUCACUUCCUCCAUCCUUCCCUCUCCUUCUUCAACUCAAUCAUUUUUUGUUAUUCCUUACAUUAAAGGAAUUUCCGAACAUUUUAAAGAUAUUGUUGGCAAUCUUAAUAAAUCCUUGGCCCACGUGGUCUUGAACAAAUUGAACUGCUUCAUUAAAACGUAUAAAGAUCCUCUGCCAAUGGAUUGUCAAUCAAAUGUUGUAUAUAAAAUUUCUUGUACGGAUUGCUCGGCAUCGUAUGUGGGGCAGACGAGCAGAAAGAUUUCUACUCGUGUCCGCGAGCAUCGAUCCAAUAUCAAUCGACCUUUCGAAAAUCUAUCUGUCUUAUCUCAGCAUAGACUUAUGGGACAUGAUUUCGCAUGGAAUGAUGUUAAAAUUUUGGAUCAAGAUAUUUCAUUUGUCAGAAGAACUAUCUCUGAAAUGAUCCAUAUUAUACGACAGAACAACGGUCUUAACGUUCAGAAUGAUACGGAAAAAUUUGAUAAAGUUUAUCUUCCCAUCAUAAAAUCCUUGCAUUUUUAAUACAAUUUAUUUCCAAUUUAUUUUUCUCCAUCAUCCGUUCCUGAAAUUCCCUCCUUUUCCCCUCCACCCCUUCCCUUUCCCUUUCCAUCGAAUCGGCAUGCUUGGCUCUUCAUUAUUACGCGUCUCAGUAUCUUUCGUCACCUCGUUUAGUAUACACGACUUUUGCAUCUUUUCAGUAGUUUUGUUCUGCUCUUCUAUCAUUGCGAUUACUCCGAUAUUUCGCAGUUACUUAUUGCAAUUAAUUUGGAUUUGGAACAAAAAAUUUUUAAUGCAUUAUAAGGAACUUUGCAACGAUAUACGAAUUGUGGAACGUAUGCGGUAUCUCUGUCCUCUACGCGCAUACCAUCUUUUUUCUUUCCACGCUUUUUCUACACAGCCACGAUCUAUGUGUUUCGCAUUGAUGUUUCAGAUGGAGCAAAGUUAAACAUGACAUUUCGAAAUCGAUAAGAUGAAAGCAAAGUUAAACAUGACAUUUCGAAAUCGAUAAGAUGAAAACGCUUGCAAAAGGUUAAUUAAAGAAUAAAUCAAAAUUAUACAGAGAUGCUAUAUCUGUGGAAAAAUAAUAAUAGCAAUAAAUACAAAUGAAUUGGAAGAAGAAAUAAAAUUAAGAUAGGUUCAAGUCAGAAAACGCAAUUGAUUUAAACGAUUUCAAUUAUAGCAUAUAAUAUGUUGUAUUCUUAUGUAUAUAAAAAUAUUUUGAGGUUACGUGAGAAAUAACCAAAAAUAAUGUUUAAAUAAUUGGUCUAUAUCAUAGACAUAGUAAGUAUAGACCGAGCAUCCAUUGUAUAAGCGUUAAGCAUACGAAAAGAAAGACAAAAGAUGUAAGAUGAGUUUCUUUCUCUUUUCAAUGCCGGAGAAGUGGGGAGCACUUCUCCACAUCUUCUCCUGCCGAUUCGUCAUGGAGGGGCGAGGAGAUGAGGAGAAGUGCUCUCCACUUCUUCGGCAUUAAAAAGAGAAAGAAACUCAUCUUACAUCUUUUGUCUUUCUUUCUUUAUGCUUAACGCUUAUACAAUGGAUGUAUGCUCGGUCUAUACUUACUAUUAUAUGUCUAUGGUCUAAAUAAAGAAAUUGAUUAAAAUAGAAA